UACGGAGGAUGCGAGCGUUAUCCGGAUUUAUUGGGUUUAAAGGGAGCGUAGACGGUGUGGCAAGUCUGAUGUGAAAGGCAUGGGCUCAACCUGUGGACUGCAUUGGAAACUGCCCGUCUUGAGUGCCGGAGAGGUAAGCGGAAUUCCCGGUGUAGCGGUGGAAUGCGUAGAUAUCGGGAGGAACACCAGUGGCGAAGGCGGUCUACUGGGCACCAACUGACGCUGAGGCUCGAAAGCAUGGGUAGCAAACAGG
This 253-nucleotide ribosomal RNA is filed under the name Blautia luti. RNAcentral describes it as "partial 16S ribosomal RNA". It matches the Rfam family "Bacterial small subunit ribosomal RNA", at positions 524 to 776 of the family's 1533-position model. Lineage: Bacteria; Bacillati; Bacillota; Clostridia; Lachnospirales; Lachnospiraceae. The record is from RNAcentral.